This 604-nucleotide ribosomal RNA is filed under the name uncultured Actinomycetes bacterium. Its description in RNAcentral is "bacterial SSU rRNA". It matches the Rfam family "Bacterial small subunit ribosomal RNA", at positions 252 to 866 of the family's 1533-position model. The record is from RNAcentral. Lineage: Bacteria; Bacillati; Actinomycetota; Actinomycetes.
GUGGGGUAAUGGCCUACCAAGGCGACGACGGGUAGCCGGCCUGAGAGGGUGACCGGCCACACUGGGACUGAGACACGGCCCAGACUCCUACGGGAGGCAGCAGUGGGGAAUAUUGGACAAUGGGCGAAAGCCUGAUCCAGCAACGCCGCGUGAGGGAUGACGGCCUUCGGGUUGUAAACCUCUUUCAGCAGGGACGAAGCGAAAGUGACGGUACCUGCAGAAGAAGCACCGGCCAACUACGUGCCAGCAGCCGCGGUAAUACAUAGGGUGCAAGCGUUGUCCGGAAUUAUUGGGCGUAAAGGGCUCGUAGGCGGUCCAUCACGUCGGGAGUGAAAAGCUGGGGCUCAACCCCAGUCCUGCUUCCGAUACGGGUGGACUAGAGGUAGGUAGGGGAGAUCGGAAUUCCUGGUGUAGCGGUGAAAUGCGCAGAUAUCAGGAGGAACACCGGUGGCGAAGGCGGAUCUCUGGGCCUUACCUGACGCUGAGGAGCGAAAGCAUGGGGAGCAAACAGGAUUAGAUACCCUGGUAGUCCAUGCCGUAAACGUUGGGCGCUAGGUGUGGGGGACAUUCCACGUCCUCCGUGCCGCAGCUAACGCAUUAAGCG